RNAcentral lists this long non-coding RNA (509 nucleotides) under Trifolium pratense (red clover). RNAcentral describes it as "long non-coding RNA (TPRA_LNC008560)". Lineage: Eukaryota; Viridiplantae; Streptophyta; Magnoliopsida; Fabales; Fabaceae. The record is from RNAcentral.
CGGUUUCAAAUGUAUCCAUUUAUUUUAUUUUAUUUUUUAUUAUUUUUAUUUAAAUGUUAAUACGUUUAAUCUUCUUCUCUAUCAUUUCACAAUCCAAACCUGCAAAAAAAAAAUCACAAUAACCCAAACCAAAAAUCCAUUGAAAACAUAUUUCACACUAAAAUCUUUCUUUUAUUUGGAUAGGGAUAAUGCGGAGAACAAAAUAAUUGAAAUGAGAAUCCGUCGACGUGUUGUUGUGGUUGUCCAUUGAAUCACACUAAAAUCUUUUAUUUUGAUUCUUCUCCGGUCGACUUGUUGUUGGUGUUGUUGUUGUCCAGUUUUCUCUUUUCAUUGAUUGUUGUAUUUUGUUCAUGGUAGUUCCUGUCCACUAAUUUAAACCGAUUAAACAAUACAAACUCAGAUUCAAUAUACCCAGAUUUGAAACCCAAUUAAAAAUGAUUUAGAUCUGGAAAAACCUGUAACAAAAAUUGAAUCUUGCGAGAAAGACAUAGCAUGAUAAUGGGUCAAAU